AGCCCGUUGCUUUACUUUUUGUUUCACCGACAUAGUCAUUAUGCUGAAGAGAAAGUCUCCAGAGAAUACAGAGGGCAACGAUGGAUCCAAAGUAACUAAACAGGAGCCCACAAGACGGUCUGCCAGAUUGUCGGCGAAACCUGCUCCACCAAAACCUGAACCCAAACCAAGAAAAACAUCUGCUAAGAAAGAACUUGGAGCAAAGAUUAGCAGAGGUGCUAAAGGGAAGAAGGAGGAAAAGCAGGAAGCUGGAAAGGAAGGCACAGAAAACUGAAUCUGUAGAUAACGAGGGAGAAUGAAUUGUCAUGAAAAAUUGGGGUUGAUUUUAUGUAUCUCUUGGGACAACUUUUAAAAGCUAUUUUUACCAAGUAUUUUGUAAAUGCUAAUUUUUUAGGACUCUACUAGUUGGCAUACAAAAAUAUAUAAGGAUGGACAUUUUAUCGUCUCAUAGUCAUGCUUUUUGGAAAUUUACCUCAUCCUCAAGUAAAAUAAAUAUCAGUUAAAUAUUGGAAAGCUGUGUGUAAGAUUGAUUCAGCAUUCCAUGCACUUGCUUUAAAAUUUAGUCCUGUGCAUACUGUGGUGUUUUUACUGUGCAUAUUUGAAUUUUUCAUGCAGUUUUUCUAGAGCAAUAAUCAGUGGUGCUUUUGUACCUAGGUUUUAUGUGAUUUUAAUGAAACAUGGAUAGUUGUGGCCACCUGCUGACUAUUUGUGGUUUAAAAUAAAAGGUUUACUUGUCUG
Mandrillus leucophaeus (drill) is the source of this 738-nucleotide RNA transcript. It is a transcript of the gene named high mobility group nucleosome-binding domain-containing protein 3 pseudogene, with no coding region annotated. NCBI's taxonomy places the organism in Eukaryota, Metazoa, Chordata, Mammalia, Primates, Cercopithecidae. The transcript has a single exon. The record is from RefSeq and is a predicted model, not a curated record.